UACAUAUAGUUUUUAGUUUAGUUUAUAUGUCAUAGGUCUGAUUUGGUUUAAGAACAACAAUCACGAAUAUUUUAUGAUUUUUCCUAAGCUUUUUUCUCGUUUCCCACGGUCAAUGUCCAGCGCGUCCCGCUGUUCUGCGCAGUGUUCACAAAAAAAGAAGAUGUGGGCUGACAUAGAGACAGAACAGUUGACGUCGAAAGGCCAGUUGACUCUGCAGGAACUGGAGCCUGCUUUAUGCCAUCGCGCCUACGCGCUAUUUGCACCCUAAUUAACUAAAAAGGAUGGAGUAUUUAGUAAAGUCCAAAAAAAUUAAUUGAACGGAGACCGACAUCCAAAUUGAUUUCCAGGAGGGUCAAUGUUUGAUGCGCCUUUUCGUGGAUACAUAAUUUGAGACGUACCUAAACGUGGGCCUGGCGCCCAGCCACAUGCAAUUUUUUUUUAAGAAACCACAUGCAAUUUAAAGUUGCAAGUAGUAUAGUAUAUGCACGUAUACUCUACAGUGUACAAGAAAACACGGAAAUACUUACCUUUGGAUCGAGACGUCACUCUUUCUCAUUCGGUUAAGUUUUUUUUUUUUUAGGAACGGGCAGGUUAAGAAGAAAUAGAUGAAUAUUUAAAGGGGCAAUGUUUUAAGAGCGUAACAUGCCAAACACACAAUCAAAAGAACAAAUUCUAAUCCGGUUUAAUGGCAAAGCCAGCGGUAGGCAAACCGAAGGCCAAGUUCCGCUAGUUAAUCUCUUCAACCGCAAGAUGGGUGACCUCAACGUAAGUAAGGCGCGUAUGGUUGAAGAUUCGUCGGUUCCGUUUCUUCCAAACAUUUCACCAGACGUACAUGAGAUGGCCGCUUCGUCUUUUUCUCGGAACCUUGCC
RNAcentral lists this long non-coding RNA (870 nucleotides) under Brachypodium distachyon (stiff brome). RNAcentral describes it as "long non-coding RNA (BDIS_LNC006006)". The record is from RNAcentral. Lineage: Eukaryota; Viridiplantae; Streptophyta; Magnoliopsida; Poales; Poaceae.